This is a long non-coding RNA of Lates calcarifer (barramundi perch), 463 nucleotides long. RefSeq lists it as uncharacterized. The transcript is spliced from 4 exons. The record is from RefSeq and is a predicted model, not a curated record. Lineage: Eukaryota; Metazoa; Chordata; Actinopteri; Centropomidae.
GCCAGGUCCAUGAGCAGGCCGCUGCUGCCUCCUGCCUGUUAAUACACAACAGUACAAUCAGACAUCAGAUACCCACACUAUUUUACACUGACGGCUCCUGCCACCCCCCUCAGUGUUCGUGUCCUGCAUUGGUCUCAUAUCCCAGGGUAUCUCCGAGGGGCUGGUGGGCAAAGAAGGCCCGGGCCAUCUCAUUGAUGUGGUUGUAGGCACCAAUUGAUUUGAAGUAUUCCACGUAGUUCCAGAAGUCAGAGCAGAAGUCAAGACAAUCUUCAUCAGAUGAAUGACAGAGAAAAUGAAGAAUGACCAAACGACUGGGUCGAUCCCUUCACUGAUCAGCAGAUUUUUGGCGUAGCGCACCGUCUCUGGGGGCAGGAAGCGCGAGCGGCCGAGGAUCCAGGCAUAUUCGACAUGGAACAGGCGGAGGAUGUCCGUGCAGGAGUACACCACGGACAAAGUAGUGUAG